RNAcentral lists this ribosomal RNA (263 nucleotides) under uncultured bacterium. RNAcentral's name for it is "partial 16S ribosomal RNA". It matches the Rfam family "Bacterial small subunit ribosomal RNA", at positions 793 to 1055 of the family's 1533-position model. The record is from RNAcentral.
GUCCACGCCGUAACGAUGGGCACUAGGUGUCGGGGUAUCCACUCCCUCGGUGCCGCCGCUAACGCAUUAAGUGUCCCGCCUGGGAAGUACGGUCGCAAGAUUAAAACUCAAAGGAAUUGACGGGGCCCGCACAAGCGGUGGAGCAUGUGGUUCAAUUCGAUGCAACGCGAAGAACCUUACCUGGGUUUGACAUCUGGCGAAUGUUCCUGAAAGGGAGCAGUGCCCGCAAGGGAACGCCAAGACAGGUGCUGCAUGGCUGUCGU